UNUAAAUCAAGAUGAAGUUCAUGCCAAGCCU
Molecule: non-coding RNA, 31 nt
Filed under: Mus musculus (house mouse)
Lineage: Eukaryota; Metazoa; Chordata; Mammalia; Rodentia; Muridae
Source: RNAcentral